UACAGAGGUCCCGAGCGUUGUUCGGAUUUACUGGGCGUAAAGGGUGCGUAGGCGGUGGGGUAAGUUUGAGGUGAAAGCUCCGGGCUCAACCCGGAAAAUGCCUUGAAAACUAUCCGGCUAGAGGGUUGGAGGGGAGACUGGAAUUCUCGGUGUAGCAGUGAAAUGCGUAGAGAUCGGCAGGAACACCCAGGGGGAAACCAGUCGACUGGGCAUCUACUGACGCUGAGGUGCGAGAGCGUGGGGAGCGAACCGG
This 253-nucleotide ribosomal RNA is filed under the name uncultured bacterium. RNAcentral describes it as "partial 16S ribosomal RNA". It matches the Rfam family "Bacterial small subunit ribosomal RNA", at positions 524 to 776 of the family's 1533-position model. The record is from RNAcentral.